GAUGAACGCUGGCGGCGUGCCUAAUACAUGCAAGUCGAGCGAACAGACGAGGAGCUUGCUCCGCUGACGUUAGCGGCGGACGGGUGAGUAACACGUGGAUAACCUACCUAUAAGACUGGGAUAACUUCGGGAAACCGGAGCUAAUACCGGAUAAUAUAUUGAACCGCAUGGGUCAAUAGUGAAAGACGGUGUUGCGGUCACUUAUAGAUGGAUCCGCGCCGCAUUAGCUAGUUGGUAAGGUAACGGGUUACCACGGCAACGAUGCGUAGCCGAACUGAGAGGGUGAUCGGCCACACUGGAGCUGAGACACGGUCCAGGCUCCUACGGGAGGCAGCAGUAGGGAACCUUCCGCAAUGGGCGAAAGCAUGACGGAGCAACGCCGCGUGAGUGAUGAAGGUCUUCGGAUCGUAAAACUCUGUUACUAGGGAAGAACAAAUGUGUAAGUAACUAUGCACGUCUUGACGGUACCUAAUCAGAAAGCCACGGCUAACUACGUG
Molecule: ribosomal RNA, 497 nt
Filed under: uncultured bacterium
Lineage: Bacteria
Description: partial 16S ribosomal RNA
Rfam family: Bacterial small subunit ribosomal RNA
Source: RNAcentral